This 45-nucleotide non-coding RNA is filed under the name Schistosoma haematobium. The record is from RNAcentral. Lineage: Eukaryota; Metazoa; Platyhelminthes; Trematoda; Strigeidida; Schistosomatidae.
AUCCAGUUGACGAGUCCUAAAUAGGACGAAACGCACGUCUUGGAU